AUGCAUCAGAAACACAUAUGUUUAAACUGGAACUAUGCUGAGAAAAUUAGCAUGGCCCCUUGUGCAGGAAUGACAUACUAAUUCCUGAAGCCUUCCUUAUUUUU
Small nuclear RNA from Antechinus flavipes (yellow-footed antechinus), 104 nucleotides. NCBI's taxonomy places the organism in Eukaryota, Metazoa, Chordata, Mammalia, Dasyuromorphia, Dasyuridae. The record is from RefSeq and is a predicted model, not a curated record.